UGUAAUUGGUGGUGACAGCAACGGAGC
This 27-nucleotide non-coding RNA is filed under the name Mus musculus (house mouse). The record is from RNAcentral. Lineage: Eukaryota; Metazoa; Chordata; Mammalia; Rodentia; Muridae.